Molecule: ribosomal RNA, 383 nt
Filed under: uncultured eukaryote
Lineage: Eukaryota
Description: partial 18S ribosomal RNA
Rfam family: Eukaryotic small subunit ribosomal RNA
Source: RNAcentral
CAAUAGCGUAUAUUAAAGUUGUUGCAGUUAAAAAGCUCGUAGUUGGAUUUCUGGUGGGAGCGAUCGGUCUGGCGCUUAGCGCGAGUACUUGCAUCGUCUCCGGCCAUCCCUGGGGAGAGUCUGUCUGGCAUUAGGUUGUCGGGCAGAGGAUCCUCAUCGUUUACUGUGAAAAAAUUAGAGUGUUCAAAGCAGGCUUAUGCCGUUGAAUAUAUUAGCAUGGAAUAAUAAGAUAGGACUUUGGUACUAUUUUGCUGGUUUGCGCACCAAAGUAAUGAUUAAUAGGGACAGUUGGGGGUAUUCGUAUUCCGUUGUCAGAGGUGAAAUUCUUGGAUUUACGGAAGACGAACUACUGCGAAAGCAUUUACCAAGGAUGUUUUCAUUAA